GAGUUUGAUCCUGGCUCAGGACGAACGCUGGCGGCGUGCUUAACACAUGCAAGUCACGGGGGCCCGCAAGGGUAACCGGCGAACGGGUGCGUAACACGUGAACAAUCUGCCUAGAUGUGGGGGAUAGCCGGCCCAACGGCCGGGUAAUACCGCAUACGCUCUUCGGGUGGCAUCACUUGAAGAGGAAACCUCCGGGGCAUCUAGAGGAGUUCGCGGCCUAUCAGCUAGUUGGUGGGGUAACGGCCUACCAAGGCAAUGACGGGUAGCUGGUCUGAGAGGAUGGCCAGCCACAUUGGGACUGAGAUACGGCCCAGACUCCUACGGGAGGCAGCAGUGGGGAAUAUUGCGCAAUGGCCGAAAGGCUGACGCAGCGACGCCGCGUGGGGGAUGAAGCAUUUCGGUGUGUAAACCCCUGUUGCCCGGGACGAACAAGCGAUUUUGAUCGCUCUGACGGUACCGGGUGAGGAAGCACCGGCUAACUCCGUGCCAGCAGCCGCGGUAAUACGGAGGGUGCGAGCGUUGUCCGGAAUCACUGGGCGUAAAGGGCGCGUAGGCGGUCUGCUAAGCGUGUGGUGAAAGCUCGGGGCUCAACCCCGAGUCUGCCAUGCGAACUGGUGGACUAGAGCACUGUAGAGGCAGGUGGAAUUCCGGGUGUAGCGGUGGAAUGCGUAGAGAUCCGGAAGAACACCAGUGGCGAAGGCGGCCUGCUGGGCAGUAGCUGACGCUGAGGCGCGAUAGCGUGGGGAGCAAACAGGAUUAGAUACCCUGGUAGUCCACGCCGUAAACGAUGGGGACUAGGUGCUUGGGGGAGCGACCCCUCGAGUGCCGGCGCUAACGCAUUAAGUCCCCCGCCUGGGGAGUACGACCGCAAGGUUGAAA
Molecule: ribosomal RNA, 879 nt
Filed under: uncultured bacterium
Lineage: Bacteria
Description: bacterial SSU rRNA
Rfam family: Bacterial small subunit ribosomal RNA
Source: RNAcentral